RNAcentral lists this ribosomal RNA (497 nucleotides) under uncultured bacterium. Its description in RNAcentral is "partial 16S ribosomal RNA". It matches the Rfam family "Bacterial small subunit ribosomal RNA", at positions 28 to 507 of the family's 1533-position model. The record is from RNAcentral.
GAUGAACGCUGGCGGCGUGCCUAAUACAUGCAAGUCGAGCGAACAGAUGAGGAGCUUGCUCCUCUGACGUUAGCGGCGGACGGGUGAGUAACACGUGGAUAACCUACCUAUAAGACUGGGAUAACUUCGGGAAACCGGAGCUAAUACCGGAUAAUAUAUUGAACCGCAUGGUUCAAUAGUGAAAGACGGUUUUGCUGUCACUUAUAGAUGGAUCCGCGCCGCAUUAGCUAGUUGGUAAGGUAACGGCUUACCAAGGCAACGAUGCGUAGCCGACCUGAGAGGGUGAUCGGCCACACUGGAACUGAGACACGGUCCAGACUCCUACGGGAGGCAGCAGUAGGGAAUCUUCCGCAAUGGGCGAAAGCCUGAUGGAGCAACGCCGCGUGAGUGAUGAAGGUCUUCGGAUCGUAAAACUCUGUUAUUAGGGAAGAACAAAUAUGUAAGUAACUAUGCACGUCUUGACGGUACCUAAUCAGAAAGCCACGGCUAACUACGUG